This 26-nucleotide non-coding RNA is filed under the name Cricetulus griseus (Chinese hamster). Lineage: Eukaryota; Metazoa; Chordata; Mammalia; Rodentia; Cricetidae. The record is from RNAcentral.
GUACUGUGUAGAUGGCUCAUGGCAGC